CUCUGUCUCAAAAAAAGAAAACAUAAAUGAAUUUUAAAUUUAGACUUCGGUCCCAUCCCCAAAAUAUCUCGUAAUAUAUAUGCGAAUAUUUCAAAAUAAAAAAAAAAAACCUGAAAUCGGACACAUUUCUGGUCCCAAGCAUUUCAGAGAAGAGAUGCUCAACUGACACGGUGGGAGAAGUGAUGGGGGAAAGUGGUUGGUGGGAAAAGCCAAACGGGUAGACGAGAAAGAGACCGUGAUGGUUUUACCUGCUAUGCAAAUGUACUUAGUGUUGUCUGCAGCUUCAAAAGGGAGCCAGUGAUGAAGAAAUUGGAGGAAAGAAGAAAAAGGAAUGGCUUUCUGGUAAACACAUGGAGUAGGAACAGGAAGGAGGAAGACCACGGGCAGGCAGGGGCAACAGCAAGAGGACUUCUGUCAUAAUCCCAGCUGCACAUAAGAAAUCCUGACCUAGAGCAGAGGAGAUCCAGCGGCAACACGGUAGGGAUCACAGAGGCCGUAGGAGCUGGGCAGUGACACCGGGCAGAAGAAGCCAUCUGGCCUUUGUGUUUCUCAUCAGCAUGGCUCUGCACGUUGGAUCCAAUCUUGACACGGACUGUCAGCCUCUCUUCAACCUCAGAAAGGCCUCCUGUCCGUGUAAGGAAUCAGUGGGAUUGCUGAGUACUUCUUGAACCUUCUUUCACUCCACUCCCAGAGCCUGAAUGCCACAGGCAGCCACCCCACCAAGCCUUCAGACCUGGCCGCCUCACCUCGCUGUUUCUAACUCGACAUGACUGUACCGCCAUAGCUCUCUUACUUCUUUCUUGUGUUGAAUAAUAAAUAAAACACUUCAAGGGUUUCCCAUGAUCUGUCAGACUCCAUAGCAGACACAAAAGUUCCUCUAGCUUCAGGAUCCUAAUUUCCUUUCCUGUCAAACUUUUCUUCCCCCCCUUCCCCAAGUCCUCUGUACGGCAGUAAAGCUAUUGCUCGUAUUGUUAGUGCCAUCGGAAAUGUCCUUCCUUUGAUUUUUUUUCUUUCAACCUGCCAAAAUAACUCAACUGUGGCUAUCCUGAGGAUAUAUUGCAUUAUCUCUGGCCUUGAAGUCUCUCAAGUAGACAGAAAAAAAAAAAUUAUCCUACUUGAUUCAGUUGCUUACUACACUUAAUUUUCCCUUACAUUUUUUUUCUUCAAAUGAAAACCCUUAAGUUAGAGUUCUAGAUUUAUGCUGCUUUUAGAUGUCCUUAGAGUCAUGCUGGCAAAGAUAAAAAAUCAAGUUCAAUUUCAUCCCGAGACCUUGACAAUAAUUUCUGAUAAUGAUUUGACAUGAAAAGGUAUAUUGUUUGAAUGGGAUUGCGUAGUUCUAACCCACACAGAAUGGGCAGAAUAUAGGAAGUCUGAACCGACAUUUAUGCACAUCAAAUUGAGAAACAGAGUAUGAAAAAGUGAAUUGAGUCUCCCUGAGGGAAGAACAAGGAUCUCUUGAAAGAUCUUGAAUAUCAAAGGGAACUGAAUUUUAGAUCACGUUCCAGAAAUGUGCGUACAGAUUGGCUUUUUCUCUGAAUUCUCCGAGCUUGACACACGGAAGGUGUGCAGCAAAUGCUGUCGACUGACUUACACUGAGCUCAGAAAGGGAAAGGCUGGGAGGGUCGGCCCAAGAAGGGAACCAAGCAGGUGAAACUCAUGACACAAGGUUUGAAGGGAACUCUCUGUAAAAAAAAAAAUCUCCAAAUAGCCAAAGCAACCUCAAGCAAAAAGAACGAAGACCCCAAUGGCAAUCGC
Molecule: non-coding RNA, 1755 nt
Organism: Microcebus murinus (gray mouse lemur)
Lineage: Eukaryota; Metazoa; Chordata; Mammalia; Primates; Cheirogaleidae
Source: RefSeq, a predicted model, not a curated record